UGUUUUUUUUCCCCUAGUAAUCUACAGAAAGUUGAAUUCUCUGCAUGGUGUGAGAGUGCUGAGGAUCGUCUUAGGAAGUAUGCCUAAUAUCAGCUCUUCCUGCCCAUCCAAGCUAGCUUAAAUGAUCUUCCACGAACCAGUGGUUCCCAAAUUCUUCAACAUGAUCUUCGGAGUUUAUAUGUCUCAACUUCCCCAUGACGGACAGCUGGUUUAAGAAGUGUGGAAUCUUAUUGAGUACUUGUGAAACAGGCUGGUUAGCUCACUCUUCUCCUCUCCUCCACCCUCCCUUUCCUUCUCCCCUCCCCUCCCCUCCCCUCCUCAUAUGCUAUCAUCCUUAGUUUUUUGAAACAUUCUCUCUAUAUGUAGCUCAUUCUUUCUGGAACUCCUGUUCCUCAUUUUCAGGAGUUCUAGGUUUAUAAGUAUCACCUCCUCUACCUGGCUGCCAUUUUUGUCUCCUGUUCACCAUAAGACAUUUGUACACAUACACACAUUUAUCCAGUGGAUCAGUUCUCAGUAAAAAUAUAGAAUCGAACUGAUAGUAACGAAAGAAGGACUGCCAUGCUACAUAUAUAUCUAUAUUUACAAAUUGAUUUUUUCCUUUCAAAACUUUUUUUUUCAUCCUUUCUCUAAACCUGAAUACAUAUUUUCUCAAAAACCUUCCUAGUGUUUGUAUGUUUGUUCGUCUGAUUCAUAAGUAUAGACAGUGGUUCUUUUGUCUAAACAUGAGACUCCGGAGAAUCGUGAAGGGCAUUUUUACUACAAUAAGCAAAAGUAAGUCAGAAGUUGUCUAUAAAGAAUGUAUGAACUGUGUGGCCAUCAGAGGCUGACUUUUGAGAGGCUGUGAAUAGGGUCAGUGGUUAGCAGGGUACUUCCUGGAACUGGACGGAAUCCAAGAACUGUAGACACCUUGCAUCAAAGAGUGAUCUCUACAAGUGCUAAACUCUGCAACCUCGACUUGUCUCAUGGACUCGCUGCAUAACACUGGUCACUAAUUGGCUGCAACUGCUCCAGACAGCCCUGCACCGGCCAACAGAAUGAAUGCCUCUCUCUGCCCUUAGGAAAUCUGCCUCCACAGGUGAGGUUUGGGGCCAUGUGUAAAGCAGGGUGUCAAGUUUGUUUUCUUGUUAUUUGGACAGUGGUAUAAAUAAAGCAUUUCAACAUGCUCAGCAA
Molecule: long non-coding RNA, 1170 nt
Organism: Mesocricetus auratus (golden hamster)
Lineage: Eukaryota; Metazoa; Chordata; Mammalia; Rodentia; Cricetidae
Exons: 2
Source: RefSeq, a predicted model, not a curated record